Molecule: ribosomal RNA, 618 nt
Filed under: uncultured Actinomycetes bacterium
Lineage: Bacteria; Bacillati; Actinomycetota; Actinomycetes
Description: bacterial SSU rRNA
Rfam family: Bacterial small subunit ribosomal RNA
Source: RNAcentral
CCCUCGGGUUGUAAACCGCUUUCAGUGGGGAGAAUCAAGACGGUACCCACAGAAGAAGCCCCGGCCAACUACGUGCCAGCAGCCGCGGUAACACGUAGGGGGCAAGCGUUGUCCGGAUUUAUUGGGCGUAAAGAGCUCGUAGGCGGUUCGAUAAGUCGGGUGUGAAACCUCCAGGCUCAACCUGGAGACGCCACCCGAUACUGUCGUGACUAGAGUCCAGUAGGGGAGCGUGGAAUUCCUGGUGUAGCGGUGAAAUGCGCAGAUAUCAGGAGGAACACCAGCGGCGAAGGCGGCGCUCUGGGCUGGCACUGACGCUGAGGAGCGAAAGCGUGGGGAGCGAACAGGAUUAGAUACCCUGGUAGUCCACGCCGUAAACGUUGGGUACUAGGUGUGGGGUCUUAUCAACGGAUUCCGUGCCGAAGCUAACGCAUUAAGUACCCCGCCUGGGGAGUACGGCCGCAAGGCUAAAACUCAAAGGAAUUGACGGGGGCCCGCACAAGCAGCGGAGCAUGUUGCUUAAUUCGAGGCAACGCGAAGAACCUUACCUGGGUUUGACAUGUAGGGAAAAGCCGUAGAGAUACGGUGUCCUUUUGGGCCCUACACAGGUGGUGCAUGGCU